UUCUAUAUUGACAUUGGAGUAGGUACAUUCAUCAAGACAGAAUCUUCAUUGUGAACUCCCUGGGUGGGAUUCACUUGGUAAGAUUCAAUUCUUUGCUCCAAUUGCUUGUAGACCUAAUUGCAGAAAGUCAAUGAUUCAUACUGUAAAUAUGUUGUCGGUGAAUGAUUAUACCUGAUGCAUAAUUUCAGGGGAUUGAGAAUUGGGUUGAAGUGCCUUCAUGAGGGUAUUAAGCCGAGCUGCAGAAGUGAAGAAAAAUUCAUCAAAAACAACUGUACAGAACAUUUCAUUGACAAAUUCAUCCUGCAUUGGGAUAAGAUGAGCAACCUAAUACCCAAACGAAAUUAUUUAUUGAUGGAUCCCAAAACUUAAUAUGGCUAGAAGAUUUUACCAAAGUGUGGAGGAAGGGAUCUUCAAAUGAUCUUUCACCAUGUCCUACAGCCAGCGUGCCUAGCACACGCGUUAGAGCCACUUUGUCUCUACUCCUUGCAACCUGAAACCAAGAAGUUGAUGUAUUAAGCCAUUUCUGAUCCUCAAGCAAUUUCGAUACCUGCAGGGUAUAAUACAUCGCCAGUACACAAGGAA
This is a long non-coding RNA of Daphnia carinata, 582 nucleotides long. RefSeq lists it as uncharacterized. The transcript is spliced from 2 exons. The record is from RefSeq and is a predicted model, not a curated record. NCBI's taxonomy places the organism in Eukaryota, Metazoa, Arthropoda, Branchiopoda, Diplostraca, Daphniidae.